This 253-nucleotide ribosomal RNA is filed under the name uncultured bacterium. RNAcentral describes it as "partial 16S ribosomal RNA". It matches the Rfam family "Bacterial small subunit ribosomal RNA", at positions 524 to 776 of the family's 1533-position model. The record is from RNAcentral.
UACGGAGGGGGCUAGCGUUGUUCGGAAUUACUGGGCGUAAAGCGCACGUAGGCGGCUUUGUAAGUUAGAGGUGAAAGCCCGGGGCUCAACUCCGGAAGUGCCUUUAAGACUGCAUCGCUAGAAUUGUGGAGAGGUAAGUGGAAUUCCGAGUGUAGAGGUGAAAUUCGUAGAUAUUCGGAAGAACACCAGUGGCGAAGGCGACUUACUGGACACAUAUUGACGCUGAGGUGCGAAAGCGUGGGGAGCAAACAGG